AACGCUAGCUACAGGCUUAACACAUGCAAGUCGAGGGGCAGCAUGGUCUUAGCUUGCUAAGGCCGAUGGCGACCGGCGCACGGGUGAGUAACACGUAUCCAACCUGCCGUCUACUCUUGGACAGCCUUCUGAAAGGAAGAUUAAUACAAGAUGGCACCAUGAGUCCGCAUGUUCACAUGAUUAAAGGUAUUCCGGUAGACGAUGGGGAUGCGUUCCAUUAGAUAGUAGGCGGGGUAACGGCCCACCUAGUCUUCGAUGGAUAGGGGUUCUGAGAGGAAGGUCCCCCACAUUGGAACUGAGACACGGUCCAAACUCCUACGGGAGGCAGCAGUGAGGAAUAUUGGUCAAUGGGCGAGAGCCUGAACCAGCCAAGUAGCGUGAAGGAUGACUGCCCUAUGGGUUGUAAACUUCUUUUAUAAAGGAAUAAAGUCGGGUAUGGAUACCCGUUUGCAUGUACUUUAUGAAUAAGGAUCGGCUAACUCCGUGCCAGCAGCCGCGGUAAUACGGAGGAUCCGAGCGUUAUCCGGAUUUAUUGGGUUUAAAGGGAGCGUAGAUGGAUGUUUAAGUCAGUUGUGAAAGUUUGCGGCUCAACCGUAAAAUUGCAGUUGAUACUGGAUAUCUUGAGUGCAGUUGAGGCAGGCGGAAUUCGUGGUGUAGCGGUGAAGUGCUUAGAUAUCACGAAGAACUCCGAUUG
Molecule: ribosomal RNA, 694 nt
Filed under: uncultured bacterium
Lineage: Bacteria
Description: bacterial SSU rRNA
Rfam family: Bacterial small subunit ribosomal RNA
Source: RNAcentral